AAGUGUCUUCGGGUAGGUCCGGCCCCCAACUCGGAGGUAGGACCGCCCGGAACGCCCACCCUUGUAUAACUAAACCAGUGUUGCCUUGGCGGGCCCGCCGGACUUGUUCCGGCCGCCGGGGGGUUGAUCCCCGGGCCCGAGCCCGCCAACGGACUUCAAUUGAACUUCUGAACUGUACGUGUCUGUCUGAGUGAUUAAGAAAUAUAAGCA
This 210-nucleotide unclassified non-coding RNA is filed under the name uncultured Onygenaceae. RNAcentral's name for it is "sequence contains ITS1". The record is from RNAcentral. Lineage: Eukaryota; Fungi; Ascomycota; Eurotiomycetes; Onygenales.